This 343-nucleotide unclassified non-coding RNA is filed under the name soil metagenome. RNAcentral's name for it is "partial contains 5.8S ribosomal RNA, internal transcribed spacer 2, and large subunit ribosomal RNA". The stretch from base 1 to 120 matches the Rfam family "5.8S ribosomal RNA", at positions 35 to 154 of the family's 154-position model. The record is from RNAcentral.
GAUGAAGAACGUAGCGAAAUGCGAUAAGUAAUGUGAAUUGCAGAAUUCAGUGAAUCAUCGAGUUUUUGAACGCAUAUUGCGCCCUCUGGUAUUCCGGGGGGCAUGCCUGUUCGAGCGUCAUUAAAUAACCCUCAAGCAUAGCUUGGUGUUGGGCUUUUUUACGUCCUUGACUGGGAUAGGCCUAAAAAUUAGUGGCGAUGGCUUUUUUACUUUCAAGCGUAGUAAAUCUCGUCUUGCUAAAGAGGAAAAAGAUUUUUUUUCUGCCAAAAAUUUUAACAUUUAAAGUUGACCUCGGAUCAGGUAGGAUUACCCGCUGAACUUAAGCAUAUCAAUAAGCGGAGGA